This 406-nucleotide ribosomal RNA is filed under the name uncultured bacterium. Its description in RNAcentral is "partial 16S ribosomal RNA". It matches the Rfam family "Bacterial small subunit ribosomal RNA", at positions 28 to 526 of the family's 1533-position model. The record is from RNAcentral.
GACGAACGCUGGCGGCGUGCCUAAUACAUGCAAGUCGAACGAGUGGCGGACGGGUGAGUGAUGUCGGGGAAACUGCCUGAUGGAGGGGGAUAAGUACUGGAAACGGUAGCUAAUACCGCAUACCAUCAGAUCUGCCCAGAUGGGAGUAGCUAGUUGGUGGGGUAACGGCUCACCAGGUCGAAGAUCCCUAGCUGGUCUGAGAGGAUGACCGGCCACACUGGAACUGAGAAACGGUCCAGACUCCUACGGGCGUCAGAAGUGGGGAAUAUUGCGCAAUGGGGGCAAGCCUGAUGCAGCCAUGCCGCGGGUAUGAAGAAGGCUUUCGGGUUGUAAAGUACUUUCGGCGGGGAGGCGUUACCCACAGAGGAAGCACCGGCUAACUCCGUGCCAGCAGCCGCGGUAAUAC